This is a long non-coding RNA of Syngnathus typhle (broad-nosed pipefish), 1362 nucleotides long. RefSeq lists it as uncharacterized. The transcript has 3 exons. NCBI's taxonomy places the organism in Eukaryota, Metazoa, Chordata, Actinopteri, Syngnathiformes, Syngnathidae. The record is from RefSeq and is a predicted model, not a curated record.
UUAUCAUAUAAAUAUCAUAUAAAAAUGAUGACUUUAAUAAUCAUUAUGUCAUAAUGACUUACCAUGGCAUUAUUUUUAUUCCAUUUUUUCCGUUUUCUUUUUCACUGGCGGGUAUGGGGUGACAUGGGCUGACAUGAAUUCAUCCAAUGAGGAUCGAGUGUGUUCAACGGUCCUGCUUUGAAUGGCCAAUCACGUCAAAGUGAACGGGACAAAUCGCAAUCACAGCGCUUGCAUCUCUGGCUCCGACAACAACUUUUCUCAUAAGACCUUGUCUUGUAUUGUGUGUUUUUUUGUUGUCUUUCUAUGUGUUUGCGUCGUCUGUGUUCAUUUGUUUCACUUUGGCUGCGAAAACGGCACCGAGAGAGCGCUGUUUUUCGAUCGCGAGAGAGAGGGCAGACAGAGCUAGCUACUGGUAACGUUAACUGUUAGCUAGCUUGUGAUAGCAGUAACUUUAACUGACCAGAUUCUCUUUUUUUUAAACUUACUGAAGCCACAAAAUGGUAUAUGACACAUGUAGUACUUGCUGCGACAGUACGAUGGUCGUUACUGUGUCGUUAUUUUAUAUUUUUAUGCUGCGCAAGAGAAGAGUAUUUUCCCGCCUUUCUGUUUUUCAACACCUUCUCCGCCUCCGUAUGCGUUUUCCUUCCGGAGGCAGCACCACCAAGCACACGUCGCGACGUCCAGAAACUCGGUAAGUAGGACUACUAUCACUAUAAGUAAUAAAAUCAAAUAGUAAUACACAAGUAGUAAUCAGUUUGCUUGCCAUCAGUUACUAUAUAUGCUCCUUUUAUCUGUUUUAUGUACAGCUUGUAAGAUAUGUAUGCUCCCUGCCCUGUUUUUACAGUCAUUCAUGUGAACCAGAUCAUUUAUAAAAUGGACUGCUGUGAAAUAUGAUUUUUGUUAUGUCUGACUUUAAGGAGAGACAAUCCUGACUGCAAAAAAAUGGAUGCUGUCGAUCGAGGGGAGGGUCAUAAUCCCACCUGCUGCUCACGUGGCUGACUUCACCACUGCCUUGGCUGGCCACUCUCUUCGCCUGUUACUAUGUUUUCAACCUAGAGUAUCAGGGGGAAACCUGCACAACUUUGGAGUUUAUUCAGAGGAUUAAUCCUGACUCCACCAAGUGCAGUGCCAAGGAGCAGAUGAGCCGGAAGACUGGGAGAGUGGUGAGGAGGAAGACUUGAUACAUGAACCCCCAUGUGAUCUCCUUCAUCAUGGAGUUCAUGAAGGCUUCACUUCAUGGAGGCUAACUGACUAGAUACAGGGCUCCUGUUUUGUCCAAGCCCAAGGAAGUUUUGUCUAAAAGGUUUGGUAAUGUGCUUUAUGUUCCUGUUCACAAAAAAAUAAAUAACCCUGUUAACAAAU